GGGCCCGCACAAGCGGUGGAGUAUGUGGUUUAAUUCGAUGCAACGCGAAGAACCUUACCAGGGUUUGACAUCCUGCGAAUCUCUUGGAAACAGGAGAGUGCCCUUCGGGAACGCAGUGACAGGUGGUGCAUGGCUGUCGUCAGCUCGUGUCGUGAGAUGUUGGGUUAAGUCCUAUAACGAGCGCAACCCCUAUCGUUAGUUGCCAGCAAGUAAAGUUGGGUACUCUAGCGAGACUGCCGGUGUAAACCGGAGGAAGGUGUGGAUGACGUCAAGUAUCAUGCCCCUACAUCCUGGGCUACACACGUACUACAAUGCUACGGACAAAGGGCAGCAAGUUCGCGAGGACAAG
This 349-nucleotide ribosomal RNA is filed under the name uncultured bacterium. Its description in RNAcentral is "bacterial SSU rRNA". It matches the Rfam family "Bacterial small subunit ribosomal RNA", at positions 917 to 1267 of the family's 1533-position model. The record is from RNAcentral.